This 301-nucleotide ribosomal RNA is filed under the name uncultured bacterium. RNAcentral describes it as "partial 16S ribosomal RNA". It matches the Rfam family "Bacterial small subunit ribosomal RNA", at positions 509 to 807 of the family's 1533-position model. The record is from RNAcentral.
CAGUAGCCGCGGUAAUACGAAGGGGGCUAGCGUUGUUCGGAAUUACUGGGCGUAAAGCGCACGUAGGCGGAUAUUUAAGUCAGGGGUGAAAUCCCAGAGCUCAACUCUGGAACUGCCUUUGAUACUGGGUAUCUUGAGUAUGGAAGAGGUGAGUGGAAUUCCGAGUGUAGAGGUGAAAUUCGUAGAUAUUCGGAGGAACACCAGUGGCGAAGGCGGCUCACUGGUCCAUUACUGACGCUGAGGUGCGAAAGCGUGGGGAGCAAACAGGAUUAGAGACCCCAGUAGUCCCUGUCUCUUAUAC